This 78-nucleotide transfer RNA is filed under the name Firmicutes bacterium ADurb.Bin300. RNAcentral describes it as "tRNA-Pro". It matches the Rfam family "tRNA". Rfam says of the family: Transfer RNA (tRNA) molecules are approximately 80 nucleotides in length. Their secondary structure includes four short double-helical elements and three loops (D, anti-codon, and T loops). Further hydrogen bonds mediate the characteristic L-shaped molecular structure. tRNAs have two regions of fundamental functional importance: the anti-codon, which is responsible for specific mRNA codon recognition, and the 3' end, to which the tRNAs corresponding amino acid is attached (by aminoacyl-tRNA synthetases). tRNAs cope with the degeneracy of the genetic code in two manners: having more than one tRNA (with a specific anti-codon) for a particular amino acid; and 'wobble' base-pairing, i.e. permitting non-standard base-pairing at the 3rd anti-codon position. RNAcentral also lists the same sequence under 1 other name. Lineage: Bacteria; Bacillati; Bacillota. The record is from RNAcentral.
CGGGGCGUGGCGAAGUUUGGUAUCGCGCCUGGUUUGGGACCAGGAGAAUCGCAGGUUCAAAUCCUGUCGCCCCGACCA